UAUACGACCGUACCGCAAACCGACACUGGUGCGCGAGAUGAGUAUUCUAAGGCGCUUGAGAGAACUCAGGAGAAGGAACUCGGCAAAUUGACACCGUAACUUCGGAAGAAGGUGUGCCCUAUUAGUGUGUAGUGAACAGCGAAGCAUGAAUGGGUUGCAAAAAAUCGGUGGCUGCGACUGUUUAUUAAAAACACAGCACUCUGCAAACACGAAAGUGGACGUAUAGGGUGUGACGCCUGCCCGGUGCUGGAAGAUUAAAUGAUGGGGUGCAAGCUCUUGAUUGAAGUCCCAGUAAACGGCGGCCGUAACGAUAACGGUCCUAAGGUAGCGAAAUUCCUUGUCGGGUAAGUUCCGACCUGCACGAAUGGCGUAACGAUGGCCACACUGUCUCCUCCUGAGACUCAGCGAAGUUGAAAUGUUUGUGAUGAUGCAAUCUCCCCGCGGAAAGACGGAAAGACCCCAUGAACCUUUACUGUAGCUUUGUAUUGGACUUUGAACAGAUCUGUGUAGGAUAGGUGGGAGGCUUUGAAGCAGGGUCGCUAGAUCUUGUGGAGCCAACGUUGAAAUACCACCCUGGUGUGUUUGAGGUUCUAACCUAGGUCCAUUAUCUGGAUCGGGGACAGUGCAUGGUAGGCAGUUUGACUGGGGCGGUCUCCUCCCAAAGCGUAACGGAGGAGUUCGAAGGUACGCUAGUUACGGUCGGACAUCGUGACGAUAGUGCAAUGGCAUAAGCGUGCUUAACUGCGAGACUGACAAGUCGAGCAGAUGCGAAAGCAGGACAUAGUGAUCCGGUGGUUCUGUAUGGAAGGGCCAUCGCUCAACGGAUAAAAGGUACUCUGGGGAUAACAGGCUGAUACCGCCCAAGAGUUCAUAUCGACGGCGGUGUUUGGCACCUCGAUGUCGGCUCAUCUCAUCCUGGGGCUGUAGCCGGUCCCAAAGGUAUGGCUGUUCGCCAUUUAAAGAGGUACGUGAGCUGGGUUUAAAACGUCGUGAGACAGUUUGGUCCCUAUCUUCGUGGGCGCUGCAGAUUUGAGGAAGCCUGCCCCUAGUACGAGAGGACCGGAGUGGACACACCUCUGGUGUAUCGGUUGUCACGCCAGUGGCAUUGCCGAGUAGCUAAGUGUGGAAGAGAUAACCGCUGAAAGCAUCUAAGCGGGAAACUCGUUUCAAGAUGAGAUCUGCCGGGGCCUUGAGCCCCCUAAAGAGUCGUUCAAGACCAGGACGUUGAUAGGUCAGGUGUGGAAGCAA
Molecule: ribosomal RNA, 1248 nt
Filed under: metagenome
Description: bacterial LSU rRNA
Rfam family: Bacterial large subunit ribosomal RNA
Source: RNAcentral